This 433-nucleotide ribosomal RNA is filed under the name uncultured bacterium. RNAcentral describes it as "partial 16S ribosomal RNA". It matches the Rfam family "Bacterial small subunit ribosomal RNA", at positions 29 to 507 of the family's 1533-position model. The record is from RNAcentral.
AGCGAACGCUGGCGGCAGGCUUAACACAUGCAAGUCGAGCGGACCUUUCGGGGUCAGCGGCGGACGGGUGAGUAACGCGUGGGAACGUGCCUUCCGGUUCGGAAUAACCCUGGGAAACUAGGGCUAAUACCGGAUACGCCAUUCUGGGGAAAGGUUUACUGCCGGAAGAUCGGCCCGCGUCUGAUUAGCUAGUUGGUGGGGUAACGGCCUACCAAGGCGACGAUCAGUAGCUGGUCUGAGAGGAUGAUCAGCCACACUGGGACUGAGACACGGCCCAGACUCCUACAGGAGGCAGCAGUGGGUAAUAUUGGACAAUGGGCGCAAGCCUGAACCAGCCAUGCCGCGUGAGUGAUUAAGGCCUUAGGGUUGUAAAGCUCUUUUAUCCGGGACUGUAAUGACGGUACCGGAGGAAUAAGCCCCGGCUAACUUCGUG